UCUACUGUACCAAACAGUGGAGAGGAAAUAAACAAGUGGUUUGGUCUUGUACAUGGUAUUCAAAGUGGCCGAGCCUAGCUACUACUCGAAUGAGUCGUCUUUCUCAGUCCCCAUUCCUCUCCUCUGAUACUACUCUCCCUCACACCACACAGAUGCACUUCCGGGUCGAUCUAUCUAUUCCGACCAACUCCGGCGCCCUGGUGAAUACCUACAACAUCCUGAUGACCUCAACUACUUGAUCCCCUCAAUUUUUGGCUUCCCACAGUAUGGCGCGCGGCCAUGGCAACUGGCACGCGCGGCUUCACGCAUGGCUCAGCGACCAUGGACGACGCCGACGAUGUUGCGGCCGAGCCUGCCGCGUCAAGGCCGGAGCCACGGCGAGCAUGGUACCAGCCAUAAACUCCUACAGCUAGUCCCUUUCCAGAACUAUAGCAGAGGAAGAUGCUACAUAAAAGAAAGGUAAAAGCACAAGCGGAUGGCCGUGCUAGUACCUGAUGAACCACUAGCAGGGAUAAAUCAAUAAAGACCCAGCACAACAAUGAAUAGAUGAAGAGGCCGGAUGCGGUGGAAAGGGGUGGUCUGAGAGAAAGUGUGGUGGAGUGUGUGCGGUAGAAAGUGAUGAACAGUGAGGAGGACCUGCUAUUUAUAGUAGAGUGAGAAGCUUGGUCGGUUCCUGGCUUACGCCAGGUGGUGUGCAUGCAGCAUACCCAUGUACAUGCAUAGUUACACUUGGAAUUUUUACAGCUGUGGUUUUUACAAGUGUGAGAACAAUGGCUGGAUCUGAGUUGGCAUUUACUUUGCCAUUAAGCAAUUGUGGAAAAGGACUAAAUUGUAAAUUUCGAAUUUCUAUUAGGGGCUGAAAAGUGGAACUGGUGUAUAAGAACUUUGUAGGCAAAUAUUGCUCGGACUUUGGUGAUUGAAUUUUAUUUAAUAUGAGAUUAGCGCGAAA
Molecule: long non-coding RNA, 949 nt
Organism: Lolium perenne
Lineage: Eukaryota; Viridiplantae; Streptophyta; Magnoliopsida; Poales; Poaceae
Source: RefSeq, a predicted model, not a curated record